CCUACGGGUGGCUGCAGUGAGGAAUAUUGGUCAAUGGACGAGAGUCUGAACCAGCCAAGUAGCGUGAAGGAUGACUGCCCUAUGGGUUGUAAACUUCUUUUAUAUGGGAAUAAACUGUUCCACGUGUGGGAUUUUGUAUGUACCAUAUGAAUAAGGAUCGGCUAACUCCGUGCCAGCAGCCGCGGUAAUACGGAGGAUCCGAGCGUUAUCCGGAUUUAUUGGGUUUAAAGGGAGCGUAGGUGGAUUGUUAAGUCAGUUGUGAAAGUUUGCGGCUCAACCGUAAAAUUGCAGUUGAAACUGGCAGUCUUGAGUACAGUAGAGGUGGGCGGAAUUCUUGGUGUAGCGGUGAAAUGCUUAGAUAUCACGAAGAACUCCGAUUGCGAAGGCAGUUCACUAGACUGCAACUGACACUGAGGCUCGAAAGUGUGGGUAUCAAACAGGAUUAGAUACCCGGGUAGUC
RNAcentral lists this ribosomal RNA (460 nucleotides) under uncultured bacterium. Its description in RNAcentral is "partial 16S ribosomal RNA". It matches the Rfam family "Bacterial small subunit ribosomal RNA", at positions 338 to 795 of the family's 1533-position model. The record is from RNAcentral.